CUUGUUUCCUUGCUCAACAUUUGACCGUUCAUCUUAUUUAAAAAAAUUAUGAAAAAAAUUAAAAAGACAAGUCACGCAUAAAAUAUUAAUCAUGUUUUAUCAUCUAACAACAAUAAAAAUACGAAUUAUAAAAAAAAUUCAUAUAAAACGGACAGUCAAAGUUAAAUACGAAAACCCAAAUUUAUCUUUUUU
This is a microRNA precursor of Oryza sativa Indica Group (long-grained rice), 192 nucleotides long. It matches the Rfam family "MIR812 microRNA precursor family". Lineage: Eukaryota; Viridiplantae; Streptophyta; Magnoliopsida; Poales; Poaceae. The record is from Rfam.